RNAcentral lists this ribosomal RNA (430 nucleotides) under uncultured Acidobacterium sp. RNAcentral's name for it is "bacterial SSU rRNA". It matches the Rfam family "Bacterial small subunit ribosomal RNA", at positions 958 to 1385 of the family's 1533-position model. The record is from RNAcentral. Lineage: Bacteria; Pseudomonadati; Acidobacteriota; Terriglobia; Terriglobales; Acidobacteriaceae.
AACGCGAAGAACCUUACCUGGGCUCGAACGGCUGGUCAACGCCGGUGGAAACAUCGGUACCCCGCAAGGGGGUCCAGUCGAGGUGCUGCAUGGCUGUCGUCAGCUCGUGUCGUGAGAUGUUGGGUUAAGUCCCGCAACGAGCGCAACCCUUGUCCUGUGUUGCCAUGCCCGAAAGGGCGGAACUCGCAGGAGACCGCCAGCGAUAAGCUGGAGGAAGGUGGGGAUGACGUCAAGUCCUCAUGGCCUUUAUGUCCAGGGCUACACACGUGCUACAAUGGCCGGUACAAAGCGUCCCGAAGCCGCGAGGUGGAGGCAAUCGCAAAAAACCGGUCUCAGUUCGGAUUGCAGGCUGCAACUCGCCUGCAUGAAGCUGGAAUCGCUAGUAAUGGCAGAUCAGCACGCUGCCGUGAAUACGUUCCCGGGCCUUGUA